AACCUUUACACUGCACGACAGUGCGAUAGGGGGACUCCGAGUGCGAGGGCAUAUAGUCCUCGCUUUUCUGUACCGUAAGGAGGUACAGGAACAAGUGCUGGGCAAGACCGGUGCCAGCCGCCGCGGUAAUACCGGCAGCACAAGUGAUGGCCGAUCUUAUUGGGCCUAAAGCGUUCGUAGCCUGCCGGACAAGUUCGUUGGGAAAUCCACGCGCUCAACGCGUGGGCGCCCAGCGAAAACUGUCUGGCUUGGGGCCGGAAGACUCGAGGGGUACGUCCGGGGUAGGAGUGAAAUCCCGUAAUCCUGGACGGACCGCCGAUGGCGAAAGCACCUCGAGAGGACGGACCCGACGGUGAGGGACGAAAGCCAGGGUCUCGAACCGGAUUAGAUACCCGGGUAGUCCUGGCCGUAAACGAUGUCCGCUAGGUGUGGCGCAGGCUACGAGCCUGCGCUGUGCCGUAGGGAAGCCGUGAAGCGAACCGCCUGGGAAGUACGUCUGCAAGGAUGAAACUUAA
Molecule: ribosomal RNA, 515 nt
Filed under: uncultured archaeon
Lineage: Archaea
Description: bacterial SSU rRNA
Rfam family: Archaeal small subunit ribosomal RNA
Source: RNAcentral